GGAAAGCUGCCGCUGCAGAAAAGAAACGAGUAAGCCCCUUUGUGCUUGGCCUGCGAGGUGUUUCCUUCCCGAGCAGACUUGAAGCUGUCACCUCUCAGUCUGGGUUUGGAAUAAAUACACUCGCCCACCGAGAGAUGAGGCGGCGCCUGGCCGCACCUGGGAGGUACCUGGUCGCACCUGGAAGUGCCUGGUCUCCCCUGGCAGGUACCUGGCCGCUCCUUUCCUGGAGCCAUGGGCACGGGCCCCUCCCGGACUUUCUACUGCUCUGCAGGAGGAUCCGAUGACUGUGACCGACUGGGACACCGACCCAGGAAUGCCUGGCGGGGUGGAGGGUCUGGAGACUGCAAUUGAGAUUUCACCUGAUUCUUGGCCACAAAGUUUCAAGGGAACCAGAGCUAAUGAAGACAGCAUGGAAGGGCACCGCCGAGACCUACCUGUGGGAGUCCACCUCACCCUCAAGAACAGCUACCAUUUUAACACAGAUGGAUAAACCCCAUGAAAGUGAACUUCCUAAAUGCAAAUUCUGAUCUUGAAGCCCCAGCUGGCACAUCUACUGGAGACCCUCCCAAGCAACAAGAUGUAGAUGCUUUAGAGAUAACAAACUAUACAAGUUGUCUUCCAUUCUUUCUCCUUCCUCUAUUUUCAACACGGAUAAAAUACAUAUAUAUUUAUCUUGCUGAGCUCAGUAGGAUUAUUUAGCUUUAUUUCCAUGGCUGCCUUUUCUUAAUGUAAUAGAAUUUCCAAUCGAGCUUAUUACUUCCUUCCGUCACAAGCCUGAGGUCCUUUCACACCCAUCCUGUCCUUGGCAAAGAUCUUUGGAAAGUAGCCUGGGACAUACCUAGUGGUAAGCCACCUGCUCUGGGUUGAGGGUGGAUCUAUUCUAGUCAGAGGCUUUGUGAUCUGGACAAAGGAAUUGAGUAUGUGGCUGUCAAACUGUCAGGCAAUACUAAAUUUGGCUGGCCAGCUGAAUUCUAGCAGAAAAUCAUGCAAAAUAAGGUUUAGCAAUUGGGGAAAAAUGGCCCACAGGAAAAACAAAGGGAUGAAAUUCCGUAGGACUACACGGCCAUAGAAUUCUAACUUGAGGGCUGCAACCAGCUAUGUGACCUUGUAGUACAAGGACCAGUCUUCAGAUACAAAAUAGAGUUUGGAGUUAAAGGGAUCUUUGAGAAGAAGCCAUUAUCCACCCCCUCCUCCCAAUUUUAUAUGCCCUAAGAAAAAGGUUUCUUUCAACUUAGAAAGGUAUGAUUCUUGAAGUGCACUUCCUCCGAGUUUUCCUGAGCCUCUCAAUCAAAAUGACUUGCACCUGCCCAUCCAUUCCCAUUGGCUUAUGCUCCUACCCUGCAGUAUUGGCUUCAUUAUGCCUCACCUUGUACACCUGUCUGAUUCCUCUCCUAGAUUAUCAGCACCUUGACAAUGGGCUCGUAUCUUGUGUAUCCCUGAAUUUCCAGGGACAAUGAUAGUGCCUGCCACAUAAUUGAUGGUCAAUAAAUUUUGGUUAAAUAGUAACAAGAAACUCCCAUUUAAAAAAUGUGUUAUCGUUAUCAUUCUCAAUCUGGAUGCUCUCCUCUAUACACAGUUUUAUUCAGUAACUCUCUUAAAAUUGUAAAGGUGAGAAAUUGAACACAGUUUCCCAGGUCUUUGAGCAGCACGAGAUACAGGGAGAAAAAAAAUGCUUUGUGCUUGAAUACUUUACUUCUGAUUGGAGAAAAUAAACACUGCACUGGAUUAUUUUUAAAGAUACAUCACAUUACGUUUGUGAUCAACUGAAAUGCUAAGAUAUUUGCAUGUGGAUUUCUGCCAAGCUGCUUUUCUCCCAUUCUUCAUGUGUGUGAUUGAUCUUGAAAUCAAAUGGUGGGACUUUAUAUAUUUUUUUGUUUUAACUCAAGGUAAAGUCUGACAAAAAUCACGUUAAAUUUGAUGCUGUCAGUGAAGACAUUAGCAAUCCUUCCUGGCUUAAGGUCACUGGCAAAUUUGAUAUACUUAUCUUUUGUGGGGUUUUUUUGUUGGUUUUUUUAAGACAGG
Molecule: long non-coding RNA, 2022 nt
Filed under: Homo sapiens (human)
Lineage: Eukaryota; Metazoa; Chordata; Mammalia; Primates; Hominidae
Description: HSALNT0343790
Source: RNAcentral